UACGUAGGGAGCGAGCGUUAUCCGGAUUUAUUGGGUUUAAAGGGUGCGUAGGCGGCUUUUUAAGUCAGCGGUGAAAUUUUGCAGCUUAACUGUAACAGUGCCGUUGAUACUGGGGAGCUAGGAUUUGGUUGCUGUGGGUGGAAUGUGUGGUGUAGCGGUGAAAUGCUUAGAGAUCACACAGAAUAUCGAUUGCGAAGGCAGCUCACAAAGCCAAGAUUGACGCUGAGGCACGAAAGUGUGGGGAUCAAACAGGAUUAGA
Molecule: ribosomal RNA, 259 nt
Filed under: uncultured prokaryote
Description: partial 16S ribosomal RNA
Rfam family: Bacterial small subunit ribosomal RNA
Source: RNAcentral